AUUGAACGCUGGCGGCAUGCCUUACACAUGCAAGUCGAACGGUAACGGGCCUUCGGGUGCCGACGAGUGGCGAACGGGUGAGUAAUGCAUCGGAACGUACCUUUCAGUGGGGGAUAACGUAGCGAAAGUUACGCUAAUACCGCAUAUUCUGUGAGCAGGAAAGCAGGGGAUCGCAAGACCUUGCGCUGAUUGAGCGGCCGAUGUCAGAUUAGCUAGUUGGUGAGGUAAAGGCUCACCAAGGCGACGAUCUGUAGCGGGUCUGAGAGGAUGAUCCGCCACACUGGAACUGAGACACGGUCCAGACUCCUACGGGAGGCAGCAGUGGGGAAUUUUGGACAAUGGGGGCGAACCCUGAUCCAGCCAUGCCGCGUGAGUGAAGAAGGCCU
This 386-nucleotide ribosomal RNA is filed under the name uncultured bacterium. RNAcentral describes it as "bacterial SSU rRNA". It matches the Rfam family "Bacterial small subunit ribosomal RNA", at positions 30 to 417 of the family's 1533-position model. The record is from RNAcentral.